GGAGAGAAAGCCGAUUAGAAGAUUGAGGAUGUAAAUUCCGAGACCGUAAGAGACGACGUAGAAUCCUUCGAUGAGGUAAACCCGAAGGACAUAGAUAAAGGUAAUGAAAAAGCAGGCGGUCCAACGGUAGAAGAUGUAUGGGGUACACCUAUCGAGGAGGUGCUGAUACCGCCGGGAAACGGCAUGGCUCCACCAUGAAAAGAGAGUGGUAGAAGAAACAUCUUCUCC
This 228-nucleotide unclassified non-coding RNA is filed under the name Hevea brasiliensis (rubber tree). The record is from RNAcentral. Lineage: Eukaryota; Viridiplantae; Streptophyta; Magnoliopsida; Malpighiales; Euphorbiaceae.